Molecule: ribosomal RNA, 451 nt
Filed under: uncultured bacterium
Lineage: Bacteria
Description: partial 16S ribosomal RNA
Rfam family: Bacterial small subunit ribosomal RNA
Source: RNAcentral
GAUGAACGCUGGCGGCGUGCCUAAUACAUGCAAGUCGAGCGAGAUCUUCGGAUCUAGUGGCGAACGGGUGAGUAACGCGUUGGUACCUACCCUGAAGUGGGGAAUAACUGGCCGAAAGGUCGGCUAAUACCGCAUAAUACCGCAAGGUUAAAGUCGUAAGACGCUUCGGGAGGGGCCUGCGUCUCAUUAGCUAGUUGGUGAGGCAACUGCUCACCAAGGCGACGAUGGGUAGCUGGAUCGAGAGGUUGACCAGCCACACUGGGACUGAGAUACGGCCCAGACUCCUACGGGGGGCAGCAGUAAGGAAUCUUCCACAAUGGGCGAAAGCCUGAUGGAGCAACGCCGCGUGCAGGAUGACGGUCUUCGGAUUGUAAACUGCUUUUAUAUGGGAAGAUUAUGACGGUACCAUAUGAAUAAGCACCGGCUAACUACGUGCCAGCCGCCGCGGUAA